CCUACGGGCGGCAGCAGUGGGGAAUAUUGGACAAUGGGGGGAACCCUGAUCCAGCCAUGCCGCGUGUGUGAAGAAGGCCCUCGGGUUGUAAAGCACUUUCAGUGAGGAAGAACGCCUGGUGGUUAAUACCCAUCAGGAAAGACAUCACUCACAGAAGAAGCACCGGCUAACUCCGUGCCAGCAGCCGCGGUAAUACGGAGGGUGCGAGCGUUAAUCGGAAUUACUGGGCGUAAAGCGCGCGUAGGUGGCUUGAUAAGCCGGUUGUGAAAGCCCCGGGCUCAACCUGGGAACGGCAUCCGGAACUGUCAAGCUAGAGUGCUGGAGAGGAAGGUAGAAUUCCCGGUGUAGCGGUGAAAUGCGUAGAGAUCGGGAGGAAUACCAGUGGCGAAGGCGGCCUUCUGGACUGACACUGACACUGAGGUGCGAAAGCGUGGGUAGCAAACAGGAUUAGAUACCCGUGUAGUC
RNAcentral lists this ribosomal RNA (465 nucleotides) under Vreelandella stevensii. RNAcentral's name for it is "partial 16S ribosomal RNA". It matches the Rfam family "Bacterial small subunit ribosomal RNA", at positions 338 to 795 of the family's 1533-position model. Lineage: Bacteria; Pseudomonadati; Pseudomonadota; Gammaproteobacteria; Oceanospirillales; Halomonadaceae. The record is from RNAcentral.